UCUAAGAUGGCAGAUAGAUGCAUAGGAUUUAAGAUCCUAAAAGGAAGUAUUUCUUCUCUUGGAA
This 64-nucleotide transfer RNA is filed under the name Hapalocarcinus marsupialis. RNAcentral describes it as "tRNA-Leu". The record is from RNAcentral. Lineage: Eukaryota; Metazoa; Arthropoda; Malacostraca; Decapoda; Cryptochiridae.